GCCUCUGUGGAUGAAUGUAAAUCACCUCUGGCCAAUGUCAAAGCCCCAAUAUUGGAUGAAGAGGAUGAUGUGGGUUCGAAUCCCACCAGAGGCA
Mycena leptocephala is the source of this 94-nucleotide non-coding RNA. The record is from the annotation of a GenBank genome assembly. NCBI's taxonomy places the organism in Eukaryota, Fungi, Basidiomycota, Agaricomycetes, Agaricales, Mycenaceae.